Molecule: ribosomal RNA, 435 nt
Filed under: uncultured Coprobacter sp.
Lineage: Bacteria; Pseudomonadati; Bacteroidota; Bacteroidia; Bacteroidales; Barnesiellaceae
Description: bacterial SSU rRNA
Rfam family: Bacterial small subunit ribosomal RNA
Source: RNAcentral
AACGCGAAGAACCUUACCCGGGCUCAAACGACAGCGGACAGCUCCUGAAAGGGAGUCUCCGGCAACGGCCGCUGUCGAGGUGCUGCAUGGUUGUCGUCAGCUCGUGCCGUGAGGUGUCGGCUUAAGUACCAUAACGAGCGCAACCCCCAUCUCCAGUUGCCACCGGGUCGUGCCGGGCACUCUGGAGGGACUGCCAGCGCAAGCUGCGAGGAAGGCGGGGAUGACGUCAAAUCAGCACGGCCCUUACGUCCGGGGCGACACACGUGUUACAAUGGCGGAGAACAGAGGGGAGCCACGUGGCGACACGGAGCCGAUCCCUAAAAUCCGUCUCAGUUCGGAUUGGAGUCUGCAACCCGACUCCAUGAAGCUGGAUUCGCUAGUAAUCGCGCAUCAGCCAUGGCGCGGUGAAUACGUUCCCGGGUCUUGUACACACGC